GNGCUUCCCGCCCGCCGCCUGUGGGGAGGGACAGGGCCGGGCACGGAAAGCGAGACAUUGCCGAAAAACCGAUCCAAAAACGCCCUGGAAGGAGCCUGGAGUAGCAGUCUCGAUCUGCUGAGGGAAGGCUCCUCUCCCCUCCCGUCGCAAUUACGUCCACGGGUCUUUCUCGACCCGCUUAAAAAUAUCACGGCUGAAAACGAGUUGGAAAUUGUGGUAAAAAUCGUCCGAUGUGGGAGCCUCGACGUGUUGGGCGAGUCACGGGAUUCUAGAAGCUUAAGGCCAUUCCUGUUUGUCGCCGCAGUCCCUUGCGAAAAGUCCCUCUCCAGGGACAGGGGUGCACAGGGAAGAGCAGGGGAACCAUGGGAGCACCCCAGGAGUGACAGGGAGGUGUUAGGAACACCACCACUUGUGUGAUGCAGUGCUGGGAUUUGCUGAUUUCUUCACCAAAAAUAAUGGAUUUCAAUUUACUUCCUGAUGUUCAGGGCAUCACUUCA
Molecule: non-coding RNA, 497 nt
Organism: Cyanistes caeruleus (blue tit)
Lineage: Eukaryota; Metazoa; Chordata; Aves; Passeriformes; Paridae
Source: RefSeq, a predicted model, not a curated record